Long non-coding RNA from Solanum dulcamara, 1615 nucleotides. RefSeq lists it as uncharacterized. The transcript has 3 exons. The record is from RefSeq and is a predicted model, not a curated record. Lineage: Eukaryota; Viridiplantae; Streptophyta; Magnoliopsida; Solanales; Solanaceae.
UUGAAUCCAAUUUAGGACCAUUAAUCAGGCCCAAUUUUCCUUAAACCCAGCCCAUGUAACCCUUUUCCCCUUUCUCUCCUCUCUUUCCAUGAGACUCACGCGCAGAACUCCAAUUCAGAGAAGAGCGACGCGAGUACACACCCUAUACAUACAUACGCGUCCUCUUCCUUAUCCUCUCCGUAAGCGGAACCUUCGAGAUGAGAUGUAGUUGUCUUAAUCUCAUCACCUCACUGGUUCUUCGACUUGAAAUCGUCAGUUCUCAUUCUCAAGCCGUUGAGAAUUUGUUCCAAUUCAUACUAAUUCCAGGUGGUCGAAUCUUAUCUCAAAAGAAAGGUUUGAAUUUCGAAUUUGAAUCUCAAAAAUUUCACCCGAAUUCCCCCCCCCCCCCCCAAUCUCCCUAGUUUUCCUCUAUAAAUGCCCCUUACUUCACUGAUUCGAGGAGGAGGGGGAGGAGACGAGAUUUUUACCAUAAAAAAUAGGUUUUUUGGGGACGGUUUUUUGAGAGGCUAAGAAAAGAACACCCCGUUGUUUGGGAGUUUUAAAUUUUUCUAGAAAGUUUUUCUCUCCCUCGGCUGUCCUAGAGCUCGAGUUCCGGUUCGCUGCCCAGAAUCAGAGAGAAGACGAGAACAUACCUGUGGACGAUGGAAGCAGCUCAAAUUGCUUCAGGUACAUCCAGGACCUGCAGUAUCCAAAAAGCUAAAUAUGACCCCUCAUGGUGUUCUCCAUCACCACCAAACUUCAAACAACUUGAAGAAUCCAAGAACUACAGCUUGGUUCAUCCAAGAGUUGCUGAACAAGCUGACCAACACCAUUAACAAAUUUCAAGAUUUCUAAUGGACAUUGCAGACUUGCAGUGCUGCAGCAGUUGAUCUAAUUCAUGAAGUUCUUCCAUAUCCAAAGGGAGCACUACAUGGUGCAAACACCUUGCAGCAGCUCUUAGCAACCUGUAACACAUUGCAGAGCUGCAACAUCUACAACAACAGCACCCAACAACCUUCAACACCUUGCAGAGCUGCAGACUUGCAGCAAACUGCAACAUCCAGCAACAAAUCCUUAAACUACAUAACAACAACUUCAGCAUCCAACAAUUGUAACAUCUUUAGCAACCAACAAUUACAACAACUUCAGCAUCUAACAACAGUUGAGCUACUCUUGGAGUUUUUCCAUUUGUAUAAAUAACCCCAUGAAGCUUCUCAGACAAUGCAGUGAUGCAGCACCCAGCAACAACAACACCCAACAACAUGUACCUCAACUACACAGCUACCUACACAGCUCCAACACAAUCAUACUUGGAAGUUGGAACCUGCAACAUCCAACAACUAGCAGCAUCUGCAAACCUGCAACAGUGGAUCAAACAAAGAAGGGAUUUUUUUCUAAAUUCAGACAGUUCAGCAGCGGCAGCAGCACUGCUGAAACUGUGGCAGCAUCACAGUUCAGCAGCAGCAGCUCAGUUUCGAGCUCUCAAUAUUAAAGUGUAGCAACACAUAUUAAAGUGACAACAAUUAGCUAAAAUACCAUAGAAAGCUCAAAGUUUCAACAACUAUCUUUCUAAGAUAGUAAUUUGCAGGGAGUGAAACAAAUAUUCAUAUAGUUAAUUAUGUAAAAUUACCCUUUU